GUAUUGGUGGUUCAUUGGUAGAAUUCUCACCUUCCGUGCAGGAGAUUCGGGUUCCAUUCCUGGCCAAUGCA
Molecule: transfer RNA, 71 nt
Filed under: Loxodonta africana (African savanna elephant)
Lineage: Eukaryota; Metazoa; Chordata; Mammalia; Proboscidea; Elephantidae
Rfam family: tRNA
About the family: Transfer RNA (tRNA) molecules are approximately 80 nucleotides in length.
Source: Rfam by way of RNAcentral